AUUAAGACUAAAAAGUAGGGUAGGUAGCUAUAGUGUAACUGGAACCACACAUAUAUUUUAAUUUGGCCUAAACAUGAUAAGUGUAUUUUAAUUAUCCAAAUAGUUUAUAGCUUUUGACUUGCAGGUCUUGAUUUAAUUUUAAAUGGAUGAUAUCUUCACAGAAAAUAGAUAAGAGUUGUGUUACAUGGUAUAAAUUAAUGUUUAAUCGCAUUAGUUGAUUAAAUUUUAGAAUUAUUUAACUCUAAACAGUGAAUGUAUUAUGGCUGUAAUGAAAAUUUUGGUGGUAUUUUAAAUACUUUUUGAUUGGUUAUUGACACCAUACUAAAAGAGGGACAAAAGAUACCUGAGAAGAACAGUCAAACUCAUUAAUCGAAAAUAAACUGACAACGCCAUGGAUAAAAAUGAAAAAAAGCAAACUGACAAACAAUAGUACCCAUGACACAACAUAGAAAACUAAAGAAUAAACAACA
RNAcentral lists this long non-coding RNA (470 nucleotides) under Mytilus galloprovincialis (Mediterranean mussel). The record is from RNAcentral. Lineage: Eukaryota; Metazoa; Mollusca; Bivalvia; Mytilida; Mytilidae.